CUUGCCUAGCAUGUGUGAGGCACUGGGUUGGAUUCUAAGCAAUGCAUAUAAAUAAACGAAUAAGAUAAAAAGGUCCAUAAAAGAGACACUAUUUCAAUAAUCAUUCACUUUCUAGCACUGUCCCAUUCAGUUAGUGGCAGAAAAGAUGAGAUUUUAAAAAACAGUUUUAGCCACUCUUGUGUUGAUUCCUUCAUUCACCGGUUACUUGCUAGGCACAUUUUCUUUUUUUUUUUUUUAAUCUUUUAAUUGAGAUUGGAUAUCUUCAGACUCCUGUUGAUUCAUGUUAAAUCAAUUAUAACUGAAGUGAUUUAAACGUGCUUUUGAUUUGAAGCUAUUUUCAUUCCAGAAAAAUAAAGAGAAUCAUGAAUUCACUGUGAUAAAUUCUUUUCUAAUUUAAUGCAAUCACUUAUUAUUUUGUUCACUUCAGAGGGAUAACUUUAUAAUAAAUAGGAUAUUCUUGUUUCUCUAUUUGUGUCUCUAUUUGAAUGUAAUGGUAGGAUAGGCCCUGGAGUGAACAGUGAGGUCAUUUGUGGCAGGAACAGUGGCUCUUUAUCAGGGUCUCCCAGGAUGGUUUUAGCUUGAUAAUUAUUAUAGUUAAGAAUGUGAUUUUAUUGCUAUCAGUACCUCAGAGUUGAUUAACAUGCUUGUAAUCCAGCAACUUUGGAGGCAGGAGGAUCCAAAGGUCAAGGCCAACUUCGGCAGCUUAAUGAGAACCUAAACAACUUAGACCCUGUCUCAAAAAAAAGGCUGGGACCAACCAACCUCAGAAACAUAGUGAGGACCUACGCAACUUAGCAAGGCCCUGUCUUAAAAAAUAAAAAGGGCUGAGGAUGUGAUUCAGUGACAAAGCACCCCUGGGUUUUUAAAAAAAAAAAAAAAGUGUUGAAAGCAGAUAAACUGGGAAUCAGAACAAAAUGAGGUGAAUCGUUUUGAGGGAUAUUUUGUUCAGAUCAUGGAGUGAGGCCCCAAAGCAAUAUAGCUCUCCAAGACAAAAACUAGUGCUCCGUGGAUUUUGUGUCUGUUUCCUGGACAACACUGGGUAAAACUGGCAAUUCUCAUUCCACAGACUAAUCUACAUACUUUCUCUAAAGAGUGUACUGAUGAUUGUUUGGGUUUUUACCAACUGAACUGCAGACACUUCCAGUUUUGCUUCCUGAGAUUGCAUUCACAAUUAGAGUUUGGACAGGAAGGGGGUUCUAUACUCCUCAGUUACACCAUGCACAAGCAGUUUUAUGGAUUGCUCCACAACCAACUUAUAAAUUAUAAGAUUUUAGGAGGUUUAUUCUCAGAAGCUACCUUAUUUUCAACAUUGUUGCUAUUUAUGAGAAGUUACUUCCCCCAAAGGAAACAUUUAAAAUGCUUUCCAUUCUAUCUAGUAUUUACUAGAGUCUGCACCAUACUUUACUCCGGAAAUGAUUACUUGAGGCUGGUGAGGGGUGGAGUUCAAAGAGUUAUUUAUUGUAAAGGUUGAAAUCACAAGACCCAGUUUUCCAGCAAUUUGCUUAACCCUGAAACCUUUAUACUUGGGGUGAUAAUUACACAACUCUGAAUAUACUAAAAAUCAAUUAAUUGUAUA
Molecule: long non-coding RNA, 1576 nt
Filed under: Marmota monax (woodchuck)
Lineage: Eukaryota; Metazoa; Chordata; Mammalia; Rodentia; Sciuridae
Source: RNAcentral